RNAcentral lists this unclassified non-coding RNA (279 nucleotides) under plant metagenome. RNAcentral describes it as "partial contains small subunit ribosomal RNA, internal transcribed spacer 1, and 5.8S ribosomal RNA". The stretch from base 235 to 279 matches the Rfam family "5.8S ribosomal RNA", at positions 1 to 45 of the family's 154-position model. The record is from RNAcentral.
UUUCCGUAGGUGAACCUGCGGAAGGAUCAUUAUUGCAUACCCGAGGGGGGAGGUCUGUCUCUUACACGAUAGUUCCUGGACGCCCUAGUGCCCAUUCACAAAUCCAUCUCAUACCAAUGUGAAAAACCGCAACAAUCCACCUUUGGCAUCUCCGGACGGGGGCGUACGCGUUCACACGAACUAUGCAUGCGAUGGAGAGUGUAUUCUUUGUUUUUGCGGUCACGCAAUCAAUACAACUUUCAACACCGGAUCUCUUGGCUCUCGAAUCGAUGAAGAACG